RNAcentral lists this ribosomal RNA (384 nucleotides) under uncultured bacterium. Its description in RNAcentral is "bacterial SSU rRNA". It matches the Rfam family "Bacterial small subunit ribosomal RNA", at positions 963 to 1344 of the family's 1533-position model. The record is from RNAcentral.
GAAGAACCUUACCAGCUGUUGACAUUCGGGGUUUGGGCAGUGGAGACAUUGUCCUUCAUUUCGGCUGGCCCCAGAACAGGUGCCGCAUGGCUGUCGUCAGCUCGUGUCGUGAGAUGUUGGGUUAAGUCCCGCAACGAGCGCAACCCUCGCCCUUAGUUCGCCAGCAUUUGGUUGGGCACUCUAAGGGGACUGCCGGUGAUAAGCCGAGAGGAAGGUGGGGAUGACGUCAAGUCCUCAUGGCCCUUACGGGUUGGGCUACACACGUGCUACAAUGGUGGUGACAGUGGGCAGCGAGACCGCGAGGUCGAGCUAAUCUCCAAAAGCCAUCUCAGUUCGGAUUGCACUCUGCAACUCGAGUGCAUGAAGUGGAAUCGCUAGUAAUCG